This 301-nucleotide ribosomal RNA is filed under the name uncultured bacterium. RNAcentral describes it as "partial 16S ribosomal RNA". It matches the Rfam family "Bacterial small subunit ribosomal RNA", at positions 509 to 807 of the family's 1533-position model. The record is from RNAcentral.
CAGCAGCCGCGGUAAUACGAAGGGUGCAAGCGUUACUCGGAAUUACUGGGCGUAAAGCGUGCGUAGGUGGUGGUUUAAGUCCGUUGUGAAAGCCCUGGGCUCGACCUGGGAAUUGCAGUGGAUACUGGGUCACUAGAGUGUGGUAGAGGAUAGUGGAAUUUCCGGUGUAGCAGUGAAAUGCGUAGAGAUCGGAAGGAACAUCUGUGGCGAAGGCGACUAUCUGGGCCAACACUGACACUGAGGCACGAAAGCGUGGGGAGCAAACAGGAUUAGAUACCCGCGUAGUCCCUGUCUCUUAUAC